This 745-nucleotide ribosomal RNA is filed under the name uncultured bacterium. Its description in RNAcentral is "bacterial SSU rRNA". It matches the Rfam family "Bacterial small subunit ribosomal RNA", at positions 67 to 829 of the family's 1533-position model. The record is from RNAcentral.
CGAAGCGCAAGCAGAGGUUCUUGACUGAGUGGCGGACGGGUGAGUAACGCGUGGAUAACCUGCCUUUCACAGGGGGAUAACAGCUGGAAACGGCUGCUAAUACCGCAUGAGCCUCUUUUAUCGCAUGAGGAGAGAGGGAAAGAGAAAUCGGUGAGAGAUGGAUCCGCGUCCGAUUAGCUAGUUGGAGGGGUAACAGCCCACCAAGGCGACGAUCGGUAGCCGACCUGAGAGGGUGGACGGCCACAUUGGGACUGAGACACGGCCCAAACUCCUACGGGAGGCAGCAGUGGGGAAUAUUGCACAAUGGGGGAAACCCUGAUGCAGCAACGCCGCGUGAGUGAGGAAGUAUUUCGGUAUGUAAAGCUCUAUCAGCAGGGAAUAGAAAAGAAGGUACCUGAAAAAGAAGCCCCGGCUAACCACGUGCCAGCAGCCGCGGUAAUACGUAGGGGGCAAGCGUUAUCCGGAUUUACUGGGUGUAAAGGGAGCGUAGACGGAAAGGCAAGUCAGAAGUGAAAACCCAAGGCUCAACCAUGGGACUGCUUUUGAAACUGUCAAACUAGAGUACGGGAGAGGUAAGAGGAAUUCCUAGUGUAGCGGUGAAAUGCGUAGAUAUUAGGAGGAACACCAGUGGCGAAGGCGUCUUACUGGACCGAAACUGACGUUGAGGCUCGAAAGCGUGGGGAGCAAACAGGAUUAGAUACCCUGGUAGUCCACGCGGUAAACGAUGAAUACUAGGUGUUGGGGU